This 468-nucleotide ribosomal RNA is filed under the name uncultured bacterium. Its description in RNAcentral is "partial 16S ribosomal RNA". It matches the Rfam family "Bacterial small subunit ribosomal RNA", at positions 28 to 507 of the family's 1533-position model. The record is from RNAcentral.
GACGAACGCUGGCGGCGUGCUUAACACAUGCAAGUCGAACGGAAAGACCCUGCUUUUGUGGGGUGCUCGAGUGGCGAACGGGUGAGUAACACGUGAGUAACCUGCCCUUGACUUUGGGAUAACUUCAGGAAACUGGGGCUAAUACCGGAUAGGAGCUCCUGCUGCAUGGUGGGGGUUGGAAAGUUUCGGCGGUUGGGGAUGGACUCGCGGCUUAUCAGCUUGUUGGUGGGGUAGUGGCUUACCAAGGCUUUGACGGGUAGCCGGCCUGAGAGGGUGACCGGCCACAUUGGGACUGAGAUACGGCCCAGACUCCUACGGGAGGCAGCAGUGGGGAAUAUUACACAAUGGGCGGAAGGCUGAUGCAGCAACGCCGCGUGCGGGAUGACGGCCUUCGGGUUGUAAACCGCUUUCGCCUGUGACGAAGCGUGAGUGACGGUAAUGGGUAAAGAAGCACCGGCUAACUACGUG